GCAAGCUUGAACUUCGGGCAAGAAUAGGGCCGGAUGGGCUGAAGUAAAAUGAAGAUUGAGAAGACAAGGGUCAGAAGCUCUGCAGGGACUGCACAUCCCGCAUUGUUACGAAUCAUCCCAGAGGUUGGAUUCCAGUCAAGCACACAAGGAAGAAGAGAGGCUUCUCGAAAUGAAGUAAACUGCUCUCUUCAGUCUUGUCUAGUGUUGUGUGUCUGCAAUGGUUCAUACAGGGGGUUUUAGUGAAGUGAGAACAGGCAACAGCUAUGGAGCGAUCAGUUCAAUAAAUGGAUCUCUUUCUCGAGAAAUUAAAGCUGUGAAACACAUGACACCAAGCUGUAAGAAUUUCUAAACUGUAUUUCAAUUGAGUAUUCUUUUCAUCUGUAUGAAGUAAGAUUUCAAAACAAACCCAAAUUGUAAUGUUCGUUUUGAUUGUAAGCAUUCUGUGGCUCAAACCAUCUCACCCAGUGCACACGUGGUGUAUAUGCCUAAUGGGCUCCCACGCUUAGGCACAUUAUGCCAUCCUACCUACUCCUGGAGCAAAGAAAUUUAAAUAUUACAAAACUAAGUACAGUCAGUCUACUUGGCAUGCGUUUGUUUUUUUUUUAAAGACAAAUAAGAAUAUAUAGUGUAAAUUGUAAUACAGUGCAAGACAAUCGUAUGUUUUAUGAUUGCCUCUGGAUGAGGUCCCAUCUCAACGCUUCAUUCACUCAUUCAGACAUAAAAACUAACUUGCUUCCAUUCACUCUUUCCCUGGCUGCUGCUAGCAAACAGAUCUGCUGUCAGCGUCCUAUGAGAGGAUCUGCCACAACCCGGGGCCCUGCUGCUCCUGGCCAGGGACAUGGCUGCUGCUGCAAACCCAGUGCCUGGAGCUGCACAGGAAGCUGACAGAGUAGGGGAAGAGGCAGGGAAAUCUGUGACUGACUUGAUUGCACAGAUACAGGUGACCUUGUGAUACGCUGAAUCUGAAUGGGAAGAAUGAGAAAACAAGGAGUAGUUGAAUUGCUGGGUACUCUGCAAAACAAGCUGAGUUUGAUCCAUAGCACUGAGAUGAACUGUUCAAGUAAGUACUCCAGACUGAAGACAGAAGCAGCACAUCCCAGCAACUGCAAUUGCUGGUGGACUUCCCUCAAAUGGUUACCAUUUCUGUGGCACAAAGAUGCACAAAUAUAUCUAUUGGGAUAAUACUACCCUACAUUCUCAGAGGGAAAGAAGAGCAAGAAUACAGUUGGUACACGAUGUCACUUCCCAUGACACUACAUUGAUUAUUAUUGUGACAUCUGUUUAUACAGCUGAUGAUGAAUUUCUAGUGUACGUUGAUUACAGCAAUUGCAGCUGGACUACUUCCUUUCCCCUAGCACUUAACUGCACUCUUGGUUAUUGAGUGGUAUAUGAAUGCUUAUGAAACAAGUACAGGAAGAUCAAACAAAAGUGAUUCUUUCCUCUUAGACCUCCACCGCUACAUUACAUGUAACCUGCCAACACAAGACCAGUUAGUCUCUGACCUGCAGCAGCUGAAAGUAGCUGGAUUCCAGAUGGCUCUAAAAAGCUGCUUUUGUACAGCUCUCAUAUUAUUUGUAACAACCUGACAUGAAACAUCAGAGCAAGCUCCCAUGACAGAUGACAUCGCCAAACACAGGAAAUUUCCACUCAUCCAGUAUGAUGUGGUCCCACCACACAGCGUACGGUCCCGUUUGAGUUCUAUCCCAUCUAGUGCUACUGGAAUAUCAUCACCUCAAUCUACGUUCUCUACAUCAAAGUGCAUUCAUAGAGCUUUCAUGACACUGGCAUCUCAAGAUAAAAUGCCAUUAUAUUACACCCUAUCACACCUCAUAUCCUGGAUCUUUACUUUCCAAACCAAUUAUUUCAGAAAGAAGAAAGGAUUUGGGUCAUUGUUCUGAGGUUUACUAUGUGUGGACAACAUAUUAUGCUUGAUUCACUUGGCUAACCAACAGAGUAAGCACAGCCAAUGAGGUACGUGCCUCCUUCAAAAUGUUUUUCUUUACAGACUUGGCAGGUUGGUGAUGUUCUAUAUAAGGCUCAGAACGGACUGCAAAGUUUCCUCCAUUAUACUGCAAAACAAUUCAAAGAACAAUUCCAAGCUAAAAACAUUAGUUAUUCUCCCUGAAAUCCUACUGUCAAAUCUAAAUUAAGCACAGGAGUUUGACUGCCACUGAAUUUAGCUUUGGCUAAUACAGGCAGCAGUGUGUGCAGUGAAGGAUAUAUAAGAACUAUUUCAAAGAAGUUUAAUGAGAAAAAAUCUUGAAAAGUCUACACUAUUUCAAUAUCAUUACCGUCUGGGGGAAAUAAUUUGUAAAAGCUUUUAAGAAACUAACUCAUGUUCCAAAAUUAUUUUGUUUUAGAAAACACAUGCUCUAUUUCUCAUAUAUAACAAAACAAAAAUUUUGCUUCAUGUAUGCUGCAAGCCUCAGCUUUAAGUUACAUCAUGUGACUCAUGUGCCAGUGACAUGUGAGGUGCUCUAAAAAGAGUAUUUCUUUUUUAUUGCAUAAUUAUUAGCAAUAUUAAAAACUUCUGCAUUCCAAAGUAGAACAGAGUAAUAAAAAAUAAUGAGCAUUUCUGAAGUAUUUCAAUGAUUCAAGGACAAGAAAAUCACAAUGAUGUCAACCCCAGGCUUCAUAAGCACCACAGCAGGAGAACAACUAAAAAAUGUAAGUCUGUUCAAAACAGAUUGAAGUAGCACGUUGAUUUCUUUUUUCAAUCCUAAAUAGUUGCCCUGUGUGCUGCAGAAGAUACAGACUUAUUUAGUCAUUAAAACUGCAUUUCAUAAGCACUGCCUGCAGCAGCAUCCAUCUAAAUCAAGCUCUCCUGCCCCCAAUAUUACAAUGCUAUGUCCAUCAUAGAUGAUUUAACAAAAGUUAAACUACCUACAAAUACCAUCCUAACAGUAUCAACUACUACAAAACACCACUAGUUUACACUUAACGCGGUGGGAGGCAGUGAAAUGAAGAAAGAGUUAUAACCAUCUCCUUUCACAGAGAGUUCAUUUCACGAGGAAAAUUUUCAGAAAGGAGGACAAUUACUUUAAUGCCUUUCUUUUUUUUUUUUGGUACUCAAAAAAGAAGAUGCCAGAAUUAUAACAUUGCUUUAUUGCACAAGGCUUCCACUUAAGAAAAUGCAGUCUAAGUGAAAAUAUACAUCUAUACAUUAGGCUCCUAUUCCUGAGAGCUAGUACAGAUGAAAAUGUCAACCUCCCUUACUAGCUAGAACUUCCCAUUGUAAGAAUUAAUCUUAAGUUAGUAAUGUUCUGCAGGGCUGAAAUCAUCUUGUUUUAAUUUUCAAGGAUAAGUCUUAAAGCAAGGCUAUAAAAAGACAAUUACGUGUGUACAGAAUGGCUCUCAAGGAGAAAUUACUCGAUUUUUCCUCUUCAUUCUGAAGCUUGUAAUCUAAGCUCUUGCUACACCCUACUAAAGUUCUGUCAUGAACACCAAAUUAUUCUUUUCUUUCUGAAACCUACAUUAAGUGCUUCAUAGUUGCUUUGCCUUCAGAAUGCCUCUGUACCGAGAAGGGGAUUAACUCAGUUUACAGAUAGGGAAUGGAGCCACAGACAGAUUAAGCUAGAGUUUUGGGUGCCUGCUCUGAGCCACUCAAGACGUGACUGUUCAAUUUAAUAUGGCACAUUCAAACAUUUGACUUGUAAAAAGAACAGCCUCUACUGAAUGUACUUGUAGAUGUGAGCACCUUACUUCUAAUCCCACAAAUCUAGUAUCCAGAAAAUGAGAUGUACUAUCAAUGAUCAUCUAUGAAAAAUCUGCUUGUAAUAAUUUAGCAAUACUUAAGUAUGCUUCUGCACAGUUAUGCAACCAAAGGCAUAUCUGAUUCUCCAGGGAAGAAUUCAGCUGUUUUGAUUACGUAUUAUUAACUUCAGAAAACCAGCUUUUACAAACAAUGAGGUGGCUUUGGCAUUGGCUUGAUUUGUUUUGAUUUCUGAGUGGACAUAAUUACUUGAAUCAGUACUAAAUACGCAUGUAGGUUCUUGAGAGUAUGGAUUUUUUUUUCAGCUUCUGUAUAUAUAGUAAGAUAUAUAAUAUAAUAUAUGUUGUAUAUAAAAAUAAAAUUACUAUAAUAUAUAGUAAUAACUUGAGACUACUACUACUUCCUACUACUGAUCUUCAACACAAAAUUUUCCUUCAGGUUGGCUUAUCAGACCAAAGUAAAUGCAGAAGUGGAAUUUAGUCACUUUUGAGCACUCCAAACACACGUCAGACCAAUAGAGCAGAUUAUCAAGCUCAUAACAGCGAUUCAAAGUAGUUUUAUGUAUUUGUCUUUAGCCCAAAACCCAAACAUGACAGAUGAGUACGGGUUCUUACAUGCAAGUAAAAAAACAUUGAUCUCAUUUUAUACAUGACAUAUUUGACACUAUCACUUCAAAUUGCAUUUGGUCUCACUGCUGACUUGAUGUUCAAAUCAUCUGACAUUUCUGAUUAAUACUGUGUCUGCCACUGACUCAAUGAUCUUUGAAGUAGGCAUUUUUUCACUCCAUACUUUAGUUACCUAUCUGUAGAAUAAUUUGUUUUGUACCAAACAAGUUUCUAGAGAAAUGUUUGUUUGCAGUGUGAUUUAAGAUAUUUUUUAUUGGAGUUUUAAGUUUUCAGAAUGUUUAAAGUCUUGCUUAACAAGGUCAGGACACAUACAGCCUUUCUGUCCAAAUGAGCUGUAUAUAUUAUUAUUGUAAAAUUUCACUCAAGGAACAAAAGUUAGGCCACAGUGUCCUGCAACUUGCAUUACCUUGCGGUGCUUCUCAGUAGAUGAUGCAAAGAUAAUCUGUUAUGGCCAAACAGGGAUCUGAAUGCUCACUUGAAAAGAAUGUGGUCUUCAAGGGCUAAGAGUAUCUCCAGGCAUCUGCAUGGAUACAUAUGUUUGUUUACCGAGAUUCAAGACAACUCAAAUGACUGAUAAAACAUUUAGCAUUUAGAACCUCUAGUGUCAACACUUUGCUAGAAAUUCUGUGUUAUUCUUGGCAAAAAGAAACCACCAUAGAAAUCAGAAAGAAAAUAGUCAGGACACCUUUAUAUGUCAGAACCGGAUUUUUCUCGCAGAAUUGUUACCCUUGUAAAUUUGUCUGCACCUAGUUUAAUCAACAAAACUUGCAGCUGUUAAUAGGUUGCACUUCCAUGUUCUACCUCAUAUAAGGACUUUUUAAUCAGGAUGGAAGCUGGUUCAGAGUCCUGUUGCUUUAAUUGGCCUUGAUAUAAGGAAAAGCAUAACUGUUCAAGUUAACCACCCAAAAAAGUACAAUCAAGCAGAAGUUACAGGAAAGCUGCUUUCCUUUGACUUCAGAAUGUAAGCUCAAGGGCAAAGGUUCCACUGUGUUGUUCGCAACCACAGCAUAGACAACAGAUGCAGUUUAGGCAUCUUAAUCUCAACUGCAAUAUUCUUCUCCUCACUUACAGACAACUAAUUGAGCUGGUGCUGGGUGGAGCACAUUAAAGAUACUUUCAGCACAACUUGAGGUAAUUGUUGUGACCAUACUGGAAUACACUACAUGCUACAAAACAUUUUUAAAAGGACAUUAUAUCAACAAGUUCACUUUAAAUUAUUUUGGAAACUUCAUUUGCUGUUAUUCACAUUUCUCAUUUCCUGCAACCUCUCCCCUUCCCUCUUUCAGAACAGGGAGAGGAACAAACUUGCCCGGAAGAAUUACCUAACUUUUCAGAAGAUACUUUUGUUGGAGGCUUGCUUCAUUUGUCCUGUUUCAUUCAGUUGUUUAGGUUAAUUAGAUGCAGGGAGGGGAUGUGGGGGUUUUUGAGUUUUUGUUUGUUUUCUACACUGUAUUUGUUAUUUCACAUCAACUAGAACAAUGAACAAGCUCCACAAAAAGACAUACUAGAGGGCAUUCCCUGACUGGUAAGAGCUUUGACAUUUUUAACAGGAAUUUAAAAGGUUUCCAAUUAACAGCAGCAUCGCCGAGCUCUGCCAGCACUGACAACAUUGCUGAAAACUGAUCUCGUCUGUGACACCAUCCAUCUCUGAGGAAUACCCGAAAGGUUGUAAACACAGGACAUUAUUAGCAAGAAGAAGUUUCAUCAUUAUGGAAGAAUUUGUAUUAAAUAUUUCGCUUUCUUAAACUAAUAAUGUGUAUUUCAGUAGUAUUUAGGAGCAAAAGAAAAACUGUACUCUUAAUCAGUGCCUAGCAAAGUAAAAACUGUGAAGCUGCCGGCUACCUAACCCAACACUGAAAUAAAAUAGACAGAAAAGGUGAAGGCUGGGAUUGGGGCAAGACAUGGAGCAACACAUCUACAUUCUCAGAUCAUCUGCUAUGACCAUCCUGUGGUCAGCAGAGCACGGCAGAGCUACACAUACCAACUCCUAGCCAAUGGCCACUGAAUGUGCAUUCUCAGCAGUUAUGAGCAUUCAAGUACUACUGGCUGGCCAACAAAAUCAACUUUUUAAAAACCCUUAAGGAGCUUAUUUACAGUCUCCACUUUAAAGGUGGACGAAAGGGAUAUGAAGUAUCGAGAGUCCUGCAGCGUAUUCUUGUAGUUCAUUUUUACUGCUUUUCUGAUACUCUCUUCAGCUUCCUCCCCCAGCUUCUCCACAAAGCGUAUGUAGACAACUCCCCAUCACAGACCUCAGACAGAGCUAUUGCAAUUCCUCGUAAGCAUUUAUAGCUAGACUUUAUGCUUUCUCAAUCUAACGUCAUUCCCAGUUUUCCUGAAGUCACUUGUCAGUUCCUUGUGGAAUUCCUGUCUAAGAAGCAUUCCUUUAAUAAACUCUAUCUAACCAAGAGA
This is a long non-coding RNA of Numida meleagris (helmeted guineafowl), 6747 nucleotides long. RefSeq lists it as uncharacterized. Lineage: Eukaryota; Metazoa; Chordata; Aves; Galliformes; Numididae. The transcript is spliced from 2 exons. The record is from RefSeq and is a predicted model, not a curated record.